UACGUAGGGUGCGAGCGUUGUCCGGAAUUACUGGGCGUAAAGAGCUCGUAGGUGGUUUGUCGCGUUGUUCGUGAAAACUCACAGCUUAACUGUGGGCGUGCGGGCGAUACGGGCAGACUGGAGUACUGCAGGGGAGACUGGAAUUCCUGGUGUAGCGGUGGAAUGCGCAGAUAUCAGGAGGAACACCGGUGGCGAAGGCGGGUUGCUGGGCUGAUACUGACGCUGAGGCGCGAAAGCCAGGGGAGCGAACGGG
This 253-nucleotide ribosomal RNA is filed under the name uncultured bacterium. Its description in RNAcentral is "partial 16S ribosomal RNA". It matches the Rfam family "Bacterial small subunit ribosomal RNA", at positions 524 to 776 of the family's 1533-position model. The record is from RNAcentral.